GACGAACGCUGGCGGCGUGCUUAACACAUGCGAGUCGAACGGAAAGGCCCUGCUUUUGUGGGGUGCUCGAGUGGCGAACGGGUGAAUAACACGUGAGUAACCUGCCCUUGACUUUGGGAUAACUUCAGGAAACUGGGGCUAAUACCGGAUAGGAGCUCCUGCUGCAUGGUGGGGGUUGGAAAGUUUCGGCGGUUGGGGAUGGACUCGCGGCUUAUCAGCUUGUUGGUGGGGUAGUGGCUUACCAAGGCUUUGACGGGUAGCCGGCCUGAGAGGGUGACCGGCCACAUUGGGACUGAGAUACGGCCCAGACUCCUACGGGAGGCAGCAGUGGGGAAUAUUGCACAAUGGGCGGAAGCCUGAUGCAGCAACGCCGCGUGCGGGAUGACGGCCUUCGGGUUGUAAACCGCUUUCGCCUGUGACGAAGCGUGAGUGACGGUAAUGGGUAAAGAAGCACCGGCUAACUACGUG
RNAcentral lists this ribosomal RNA (468 nucleotides) under uncultured bacterium. Its description in RNAcentral is "partial 16S ribosomal RNA". It matches the Rfam family "Bacterial small subunit ribosomal RNA", at positions 28 to 507 of the family's 1533-position model. The record is from RNAcentral.